UGUCUGCGGUCAUCACAGUGCUCCGAACCUUGUGAAGAGUGGCUGACCUCCGGCCGGACGCUUUCAAACCGCAUCUGAAAGACAAUGACAUUAAAGCCGCGAGCAGACGAAAACGAACUCGAAACACGGCCUACAAGAACUGAAACAUGAGGGACAGCCUCGUGACCUAUAAAGACGUCGUCAUGUUUUGAAGCGACCGGAGAUUCAGUCGGUAUUGAAGCUGCUGGCAGUCGCAGGCAUUGGCAAGGCACUGAACAGUCACCAGCAGACGAUGGCUGUUUCGCGAUGAACACUACGGAGGCUAGCCUCAACGGCACGGACCUUACGAACCGGACGUCCUCCAUCUACAGCAUUGGUCCGGACUUCAUCACGCAAUGGAAACAGAGGAAACAGAGGGAAAAACUGUG
Molecule: non-coding RNA, 407 nt
Organism: Zootermopsis nevadensis
Lineage: Eukaryota; Metazoa; Arthropoda; Insecta; Blattodea; Termopsidae
Source: RefSeq, a predicted model, not a curated record